Molecule: transfer RNA, 65 nt
Filed under: Phalangium opilio (common harvesterman)
Lineage: Eukaryota; Metazoa; Arthropoda; Arachnida; Opiliones; Phalangiidae
Description: tRNA-Val
Source: RNAcentral
CAAAAUGAAGCUUUUAUAGCAAUUUAUUUACACUAAGGAGAUCUUCUUAUUAAGAGGCAUUUUGA